Molecule: long non-coding RNA, 567 nt
Organism: Galeopterus variegatus (Sunda flying lemur)
Lineage: Eukaryota; Metazoa; Chordata; Mammalia; Dermoptera; Cynocephalidae
Exons: 3
Source: RefSeq, a predicted model, not a curated record
UUCUUUUUUUGCCAGAGUAUCAGGACCCUCUGGUUUAAAAAUCCGUUCUCUUCCCUCGCUUCUCCCCACAAUCCCCCUGUCACUCUUCCUCCACUCCCCCCUUUGGGGACGUUCCGGGCUGGGGACAGGGACCCGGAGAUUCCAGAGGACGAGCGUUCUUAGGGCACGACAGAGGCAGGAGACAGCCCGGGUCUUCACGCCAGUGAAGUGGUGCUUGAGUCCGGUUGUGUCUGAAGAAUUGCUGAGGCUAUUGUGACAACUGAGGGCAAAGAAGGAAAAACAGAAGCCAAGAAAACUCUCCAAAGUCCUGGAAUUGGUGCUGUUACAAGGGCUGCUAUUCAUUUCUGACUUCCUCACCUUUUGCUACAAAGGAAAAAGAAAUCGAAUGAUGUGUCUACAUUUGACGAGAAGAAAACACUAACAAUAGCAGUGUAGGUUCGAAAGUCAUUGUGCGGAGAGGGCAGGAGUGAAUUAAGGCCCCGGGGACUGCGGACGUGGGGCAAAGAGACUGCCUGAAAUACGAGCUGAACCUGUUUUGUGAGAUGCACUUGGAUUUGGGAGUCGGGG